This 468-nucleotide ribosomal RNA is filed under the name uncultured bacterium. Its description in RNAcentral is "partial 16S ribosomal RNA". It matches the Rfam family "Bacterial small subunit ribosomal RNA", at positions 28 to 507 of the family's 1533-position model. The record is from RNAcentral.
GACGAACGCUGGCGGCGUGCUUAACACAUGCAAGUCGAACGGAAAGGCCCUGCUUUUGUGGGGUGCUCGAGUGGCGAACGGGUGAGUAACACGUGAGUAACCUGCCCUUGACUUUGGGAUAACUUCAGGAAACUGGGGCUAAUACCGGAUAGGAGCUCCUGCUGCAUGGUGGGGGUUGGAAAGUUUCGGCGGUUGGGGAUGGACUCGCGGCUUAUCAGCUUGUUGGGGGGGUAGUGGCUUACCAAGGCUUUGACGGGUAGCCGGCCCGAGAGGGUGACCGGGCACAUUGGGACUGAGAUACGGCCCAGACUCCUACGGGAGGCAGCAGUGGGGAAUAUUGCACAAUGGGCGGAAGCCUGAUGCAGCAACGCCGCGUGCGGGAUGACGGCCUUCGGGUUGUAAACCGCUUUCGCCUGUGACGAAGCGUGAGUGACGGUAAUGGGUAAAGAAGCACCGGCUAACUACGUG